AGCAGCCGCGGUAAUUCCAGCUCCAAUAGCGUAUAUUAAAGUUGUUGCAGUUAAAAAGCUCGUAGUUGAAUUUCGGGAUCAAAUUGUUGGUCGUGCCCCGGUACGCACUGGUAUUAUUGGUUCCUACCUUCUGAAGAACCGCGAUGUCAUUAAUUUGGUGUCGUGGGGAAUCAGGACUGUUACUUUGAAAAAUUAGAGUGUUUAAAGCAGGCUUACGCUUGAAUACAUUAGCAUGGAAUAAUGAAAUAGGACGUUUGAUUCUAUUUUGUUGGUUUCUAGGAUUGACGUAAUGAUUAAUGGGGAUAGUUGGGGCAUUAGUAUUCAAUUGUCAGAGGUGAAAUUCUUGGAUUUAUUGAAGACUAACUACU
Molecule: ribosomal RNA, 368 nt
Filed under: uncultured Glomeromycotina
Lineage: Eukaryota; Fungi; Glomeromycota
Description: SSU rRNA
Rfam family: Eukaryotic small subunit ribosomal RNA
Source: RNAcentral